RNAcentral lists this ribosomal RNA (717 nucleotides) under Triticum aestivum (bread wheat). RNAcentral describes it as "partial small subunit ribosomal RNA". Lineage: Eukaryota; Viridiplantae; Streptophyta; Magnoliopsida; Poales; Poaceae. The record is from RNAcentral.
AUGGAUAACUCCCAAACUAGGCGAGGAAAACCAUGUUGGUAUAGGCUUCCAGAGGUUGGCCUCAUUGCUAUAAAUGAUGGACUUGUCCUGCGCAGCCAAAUAUCACGGAUCUUCAAGCGUUAUUUUCAUGGGAAACCUUACUAUGUCGACUUUAAGACGACUUCUGGCGAGUUGUUAGACCAAAUUACAACAAGUGAAGGACAGAAAGAUCUGAGCAAAUACACUGUAGAUGUUUACAGGCGCAUUGUAGAAUACAAAACAGCUUACUAUUCAUUCUAUUUGCCGGUCGGUUGUGCACUGCUGUUGUCCGGUGGGAGUUUGGAUGAUUAUGUUCAAGUGAAGCAUAUCCUAGUUGAAAUGGGUAUUUACUUCCAAAUUCAGGACGAUUAUCUCGACUGUUUUGGUGAUCCAGAAGUUAUGGGCAAGAUUGGAACCGAUAUCGAAGACUUCAAGUGCUCUUGGCUGUUUGUUCAAGCACUAGUGCGGGUCGAUGAGAGGCAAAAAGACAUCUUAUUUGAAAAUUAUGGGAAAUCAGAUCCUGCUUGUGUUGCAAAAGUGAAGGCGCUGUAUAAAGAGCUCAAUCUGGAGGUGGUGUUCUCUGAGUAUGAAAGGGAGAUUUACGAAAAGCUGAUAUCAGACAUCGAAGCACAACCGAAUGAAGCUGUGCAAGCAGUGUUGAAAUCCUUUUUGCAUAAAAUCUACAGAAGGAUGAAGUAG